CAAAAUGGCGUCUAGAAAGGAACAUGCGAGGACUUUUGUAAACUUUAUUGAAAUGGCAUCUUACCAGGGACUAUGAUAUGUUUGUGGUGUUAAAGAUAUUAUGUAACAACGUGUUAUCUAAAGAAAUAUCUCAUUGUUUAUAUCCAAAUCAACAUACAAACCAGUGAAAUCGAGUUGAUGUGUGAAAUUUGACAGUUCGUGAAGAUGAAGCUUAAUAUUUUGAAAUAUAUGACAUACAUGGAAGAAUAAUUUGUAGAUAAAGUAUUUUCCACGAAUUCAACAACAUAUAUCAUGCUUCAUUAUGGAGUGGAAGUUCAAUGAUAUUGUGUAAACAUUGUGUAAAUAUUUGCACACACUUUGGAGUGUAAGCAGAAAACUCAAAACAGUGCGGUCACACAAGUUUAACACGGAUCCUUACAGGAGUUCUAAUGAAGAAGAUUUAUAUUCAUAAAGGUUGCAAGCAAUUACUCUGUGGACAGUUUCAAGGUGUUUGCGGGACUUGGAAAAACACUAUUGGACACGGCGGCGUGUGGUGGGGCAAUCCGGUCGCACUACGGUGAAAUAACCAGUCCAAACUACCCUUCCAACUAACCGGAAAACAAAAAUUGCAUCUGGAACAUCACAGGGCCUCCUGGGUCCAGGCUAAUGCUGCAUUUUGUUGACUUUCAAGUGGCUCAAUCCACGAAUUGUAAUACUGAUUUUGUUCAGAUGUAUUUCGAUGACUACUCCACAGACAGGUUAUGUGGUGUGUUUAAUCGCCGGAAGAGAUGGCUUACAAAGGCAAACCAUUUCGAAAUAUUUUUCAAAUCUGGAAACGGUAGAAAUAC
Molecule: long non-coding RNA, 827 nt
Organism: Mya arenaria
Lineage: Eukaryota; Metazoa; Mollusca; Bivalvia; Myida; Myidae
Exons: 4
Source: RefSeq, a predicted model, not a curated record